AUCGAACGCUGGCGGCAUGCCUAACACAUGCAAGUCGAACGCGACCUUCGGGUCUAGUUGCGCACGGGUUCGUCACGCGAGGGAACCUUCCCUUAGGUUCGGACUAACUUUCCGAAAGGGGUGCUAAUACCGGACAAUGUCUUAGGCCCCAAGAUGUAUCGGCUUGGGAGGGGCCCGCGUUGGAUUAGCUAUUUCGUAGGGUAAAAGUCUACCAAGGGGACAAUACAUAGCUGGUCUGGGAGGAUGGUCCGCCACACUGGGACUGGGACACGGCGCAGACUCCUAGGGGAGGCAGCAGGGGGGAAUGUGGGACGAUGGGCGAAAGCCUGAGGUAGUAAGGUCGCGUGAGUGAGUAAGUAGUGAGGAUUGUAAAGCUGUGUUAAACGGGAUGAUAAUGACAGUACCGGGAGAAAAAGCGCCGGCUAACUCCGUG
Molecule: ribosomal RNA, 433 nt
Filed under: uncultured bacterium
Lineage: Bacteria
Description: partial 16S ribosomal RNA
Rfam family: Bacterial small subunit ribosomal RNA
Source: RNAcentral